UGAAAAGAAACCUUGGAGAGAGAGUCAAAAAGACCGCAAAACCGUUAGGAGGGAAACGAAUGCAGCUAAAGUAGCUCCCCUUCAGGCUCAGGAAGUGUCGAAUCAGCUUGCUGGCCGGUGGAAGCCGCAAGGCUCCAGCGGUUGGACGGCUGGUUGACUGAUCUGCACUCCUGGGGGGAGCUGGCCAACAACAGUUGCCUCUGGCUCACGAGGGUGUUUGGGUAGGUAGCCUCCUCGUCUCGAGGUGGAACUUAUAGCCAUCCAUCUGGCAGUCUGGAGACGACUGAGGAGAGAUGUGAACUUUCACACUUGCAGCACAGGCCCUCCUGGGCCGGGCCGCCUCUUUCCGUUUGGGUACCGCUCCGGGGACUGCAUGCAGUGUCCGCUGACGAAUGCCUGCUUGGUGGGGGGAAUGGUCACGCCUUGUGCUGCAGUUGUUGGUGUCCAAAUGGCUGCAUCCGACCCGUCUGAAAAACACGGAA
This 482-nucleotide ribosomal RNA is filed under the name Tethya seychellensis. Its description in RNAcentral is "partial large subunit ribosomal RNA". The record is from RNAcentral. Lineage: Eukaryota; Metazoa; Porifera; Demospongiae; Tethyida; Tethyidae.